This 448-nucleotide ribosomal RNA is filed under the name uncultured bacterium. RNAcentral describes it as "partial 16S ribosomal RNA". It matches the Rfam family "Bacterial small subunit ribosomal RNA", at positions 29 to 523 of the family's 1533-position model. The record is from RNAcentral.
AGCGAACGCUGGCGGCAGGCCUAACACAUGCAAGUCGAACGGACCUUUCGGGGUUAGUGGCGGACGGGUGAGUAACACGUGGGAACGUGCCGUUAGGUGCGGAAUAGCUCCUGGAAACGGGGGGUAAUGCCGAAUGUGCACUUAGGGGGAAAGGUGUAUCGCCUUUAGAGCGGCCGGCGUCUGAUUAGCUAGUUGGUGAGGAAGUGGCUCACCAAGGCUACGAUCAGUAGCUGGUCUGAGUGGAUGACCAGCCACAUUGGGACUGAGACACGGCCCAAACUCCUACGGGAGGCAGCAGUGGGGAAUCUUGCGCAAUGGCGAAAGCCUGACGCAGCCAUGCCGCGUGGAUGAUGAAGGUCUUAGGAUUGUAAAAUCCUUUCACCGGUGAAGAUAAUGACUGUAGCCGGAGAAGAAGCCCCGGCUAACUUCGUGCCAGCCGCCGCAGUAA